AUACGUAGGUGACAAGCGUUAUCCGGAUUUACUGGGCGUAAAGGGCGUGUAGGCGGUCUUGCAAGUCAGAAGUGAAAUUCCUGAGCUCAACUCGGGCGCUGCUUCUGAAACUGCAGGACUUGAGUGCUGGAGGGGAUAGCGGAAUUCCUAGUGGAGCGGUAAAAUGCGCAGAUAUUAGGAAGAACACCGGUGGCGAAGGCGGCUAACUGGACAGUAACUGACGCUGAGGCGCGAAAGCGUGGGGAGAAAACAGGAUGAGAUACCCGGGUAGUCCACGCCGUAAACGAUGAAUACUAGGUGUAGGGGGUAUCGACUCCCUCUGUGCCGCAGUUAACACAAUAAGUAUUCCGCCUGGGGAGUACGGCCGCAAGGUUGAAACUCAAAUGAAUUGACGGGG
This 397-nucleotide ribosomal RNA is filed under the name uncultured bacterium. RNAcentral describes it as "partial 16S ribosomal RNA". It matches the Rfam family "Bacterial small subunit ribosomal RNA", at positions 523 to 918 of the family's 1533-position model. The record is from RNAcentral.